GACGAACGCUGGCGGCGUGCCUAAUACAUGCAAGUAGAACGCUGAAGAGAGGAGCUUGCUCUUCUUGGAUAAGUUGCGAACGGGUGAGUAACGCGUAGGUAACCUGCCUUGUAGCGGGGGAUAACUAUUGGAAACGAUAGCUAAUACCGCAUAACAAUGGAUGACACAUGUCAUUUAUUUGAAAGGGGCAAUUGCUCCACUACAAGAUGGACCUGCGUUGUAUUAGCUAGUAGGUGAGGUAAUGGCUCACCUAGGCGACGAUACAUAGCCGACCUGAGAGGGUGAUCGGCCACACUGGGACUGAGACACGGCCCAGACUCCUACGGGAGGCAGCAGUAGGGAAUCUUCGGCAAUGGGGGCAACCCUGACCGAGCAACGCCGCGUGAGUGAAGAAGGUUUUCGGAUCGUAAAGCUCUGUUGUAAGUCAAGAACGGGUGUGAGAGUGGAAAGUUCACACUGUGACGGUAGCUUACCAGAAAGGGAUGGCUAACUACGUG
Molecule: ribosomal RNA, 497 nt
Filed under: uncultured bacterium
Lineage: Bacteria
Description: partial 16S ribosomal RNA
Rfam family: Bacterial small subunit ribosomal RNA
Source: RNAcentral